This 460-nucleotide ribosomal RNA is filed under the name uncultured bacterium. Its description in RNAcentral is "partial 16S ribosomal RNA". It matches the Rfam family "Bacterial small subunit ribosomal RNA", at positions 338 to 795 of the family's 1533-position model. The record is from RNAcentral.
CCUACGGGUGGCAGCAGUGAGGAAUAUUGGUCAAUGGACGAGAGUCUGAACCAGCCAAGUAGCGUGAAGGAUGACUGCCCUAUGGGUUGUAAACUUCUUUUAUAUGGGAAUAAAACGUUCCACGUGUGGGAUUUUGUAUAUACCAUAUGAAUAAGGAUCGGCUCACUCCGUGCCAGCAGCCGCGGUAAUACGGAGGAUCCGAGCGUUAUCCGGAUUUAUUGGGUUUAAAGGGAGCGUAGGUGGAUUGUUAAGUCAGUUGUGAAAGUUUGCGGCUCAACCGUAAAAUUGCAGUUGAAACUGGCAGUCUUGAGUACAGUAGAGGAGGGCGGAAUUCGUGGUGUAGCGGUGAAAUGCUUAGAUAUCACGAAGAACUCCGAUUGCGAAGGCAGUUCACUGGACUGCAACUGACACUGAGGCUCGAAAGUGUGGGUAUCAAACAGGAUUAGAUACCCCUGUAGUC